This 253-nucleotide ribosomal RNA is filed under the name uncultured bacterium. RNAcentral describes it as "partial 16S ribosomal RNA". It matches the Rfam family "Bacterial small subunit ribosomal RNA", at positions 524 to 776 of the family's 1533-position model. The record is from RNAcentral.
UACGAAGGGGGCUAGCGUUGCUCGGAAUUACUGGGCGUAAAGGGCGCGUAGGCGGUACUUCAAGUCAGGCGUGAAAGCCCCGGGCUCAACCUGGGAACCGCGCUUGAGACUGGAGAACUAGAGUUCGGGAGAGGAUGGUGGAAUUCCCAGUGUAGAGGUGAAAUUCGUAGAUAUUGGGAAGAACACCGAUGGCGAAGGCAGCCAUCUGGACCGACACUGACGCUGAGGCGCGAAAGCGUGGGGAGCGAACAGG